This is a long non-coding RNA of Homo sapiens (human), 1411 nucleotides long. NCBI's taxonomy places the organism in Eukaryota, Metazoa, Chordata, Mammalia, Primates, Hominidae. The record is from Ensembl.
CUGAGAUCUGAUGGUUUUAUAGGGGGCCUUUUCCCUCUUCAUUCUGCACUUCUCUCUCCUGCUGCCAUGUGAAGGACGUGUUUGCUUCCCCUUCCACCAUGAUUGUAAAAUACCUGUUUUCUGACAAGACUAGGACUCUUACAUAGACUGCCAUGAACUACAAGAAGUAUAGCAUUGCUCAAAUAACCUGUGGUUAGAGUUACUUGUUAUUGGUAAAUAGCCACUGUGGAGACUAAGGACCAAAAGAAACACAGAAAGAAAUUUUACAGAAGAAAAACAGUGGGCCCAAAGCUGAAAAGAAAAAGAAGCAGCAUCUGCAGGAUCUCCAGCUAGGGGAUGAAGAAGAUGUCUGGAAGAGAAAUCCCAAAGCUUUUGCAAUUCAGUCUGCUGUGGGGAUGGCUUGAUCCUUUCACAGGACUCAGGAUUUGAAGACAAAAAAGCAUCAUAUUCCAGUGGUUGAUCAGACUCCACUAGAGCCGCCACCAAUAGUGAUAGUGGUGACGGGGCCUCCAAAAGUUGGAAAGAGCACUUUGAUAUAAUGCCUCAUUGGGAACUUCACCCAGCAGAAGUUGACCGAGAUCAGAGGCCCUGUGAUGAUCGUGUCAGGUAAAAAGCUCCGACUCACCAUUAUUGAAUGUGGGUGUGACAUUAACAUGAUGAUUGAUCUGGCUGAAGUAGCAGAUCUGGUAAGUCAGCAGGGGCAGCCUGGGGUGCUGAUGGAGACUUACAGCAUUGUGAUAGGUUAUUUACCCCGUGAUGAAGGGAAGAGAGUUUUAUGAUUAUUAAAGGAAUCAUGGUCAUCAUCAGGGAUACAGUAGAUGUGAUUGAAUUGAUGAUGAUAAUAAUAGUAAUAAAUAUUGUUAUAUUAAUAAUACAAAUGGAAUGUGCACAAUGAAAUGUAUUCCAAAAUCUAAAAGCAAAUCACAGGAUAGAGAAAACCUUUAAUGAACACAGCUAAUAAGAGCUCAUUAACAUGCAUACAUAUAUACGUACAAAUAUUUCAUAGUAAGUACCAUUUCUUCUUGGACCCUUCCUGGCACUGUGCUAACUACUUUCUACAAACUUAGCUUACAUAAACUCUUGAUAUACCCUUGAGGUGAGUAGGUAUUAUCUGUAGUUUACAUAAGAUGAAAUAGAGCCUCCCAGCAGUUAAGUAACUUGUGUGAAGAUGGGACCCUUGUUCAUGAUGGUUCUAGAACCUUCAUCAUUAAUGAUAAUGCUGAAGUAAGUACAUGAAUUGCCUGAAGAAGUGGUCAGAGUUUAUCAUAGAAAAUCUAGCUAGUACUCAGUGUGUGGAAAAUGUAUACACUCUUGCAUUUAUGGAAAUGAUAAUGUUCAGUAUUUCUGAUAUUCUAUUAACUAUUUUUUAAAUUAGCAAAAAUAAAAUACAAAUUGGCAAAAAAAAAAAAAA